This 159-nucleotide ribosomal RNA is filed under the name Cortinarius armeniacus. Its description in RNAcentral is "5.8S ribosomal RNA". It matches the Rfam family "5.8S ribosomal RNA". Rfam says of the family: 5.8S ribosomal RNA (5.8S rRNA) is a component of the large subunit of the eukaryotic ribosome. It is transcribed by RNA polymerase I as part of the 45S precursor that also contains 18S and 28S rRNA. Lineage: Eukaryota; Fungi; Basidiomycota; Agaricomycetes; Agaricales; Cortinariaceae. The record is from RNAcentral.
CAACUUUCAGCAACGGAUCUCUUGGCUCUCGCAUCGAUGAAGAACGCAGCGAAAUGCGAUAAGUAAUGUGAAUUGCAGAAUUCAGUGAAUCAUCGAAUCUUUGAACGCACCUUGCGCUCCUUGGUAUUCCGAGAAGCAUGCCUGUUUGAGUGUCAUUAA